This 406-nucleotide ribosomal RNA is filed under the name uncultured bacterium. RNAcentral describes it as "partial 16S ribosomal RNA". It matches the Rfam family "Bacterial small subunit ribosomal RNA", at positions 30 to 526 of the family's 1533-position model. The record is from RNAcentral.
AUUGAACGCUGGCGGCAGGCCUAACACAUGCAAGUCGAACGAGUGGCGGACGGGUGAGUAAUGUCUGGGAAUCUGCCCGAUGGAGGGGGAUAACUACUGGAAACUGUAGCUAAUACCGCAUACCAUCGGAUGUGCCCAGAUGGGAUUAGGUAGUGGGUGGGGUAAUGGCUCACCAAGGCGACGAUCCCUAGCUGGUCUGAGAGGAUGACCAGCCACACUGGGACUGAGACACGGCCCAGACUCCUACGGGAGGCAGCAGUGGGGAAGAUUGCACAAGGGGGGCAAGCCUGAGGCAGACAUGCGGCGUGUAUGAAGAAGGCCUUCGGGUUGUAAAGUACUUUCAGUGAGGAGGCGUUACCCGCAGAAGAAGCACCGGCUAACUCCGUGCCAGCAGCCGCGGUAAUUC